CUAGAAAGUUUUCAGGGGAAAAGAGGGCGUUUGACGUGUGGGUGGGUGUGCGGAAAGCGCCAGCACGAGCAGCGGGAGCGGCGAACGCCGGGGGCUGGGCUGCAGAAGAAUGUAAAUUACAUUUGGAAAGAUCAGGCUCGAAGGCUCUCAUUUACCCUCACCAGAUACUUAGAAUAAGAUUUCGGUGCGAUAGUAAUUUUGCCAAUGGAGGCCGACUCCCUAAAACAUCACCCUGCCUCCAAAAUUGUCUGCCUGCAUUCACCCAUGGCCCUCCCUGCAGCUACAGUGGUCUUUUAAAAAUGACCAUGUGGGACUUUCCUGGUGGUCCAGUGGCUAAGAAUCUGACCGCCAAUGCAGGAGACAUGUGUUCGAUCCCUGGUCCGGGAAGAUACCACGUGCUGCAGAGCGACUAAGCCCAUGCACUGCAACUGUUGAAGCCUGCUCGCCUACAGCCUGUGCUCUGCAAUGAAGAGUAGCUCCUGCUCACAGCUAGAGAAAGCCUAUGCACAGCAGGAAAGACCCAGCGUGGGCAAAAAUAAAUAAGUACCUUUUAAAAAUGUCCAUCUGAUAAUAUCAUUCCCCUGCUUCAAACCUUAACUGUAUGAUGAAGGCACAUUGAACAAGUGUGGAAUGAUGCAUAUAAAACGCCUGGCACAAGGCUUCUGCUCACUCUUUGGUUCUCCCCACAUCUCUCUUUCCCUGUCUUGUUUCUGUCAUUUUCCUCUCUGGCUCUGGAAAAACCAUCUGCCUCUCACUUCCUUCUUCCUCUUAUUACUUCUUAGUCUCUUAUCAUCUGAAUUUUCUUUUUUCUUUCUUGCUUUCCUCUUUCCUUUUCUCUCUCUCAUGCUUUAGUUUAUUACAAUAUAGAAUUUAAACAGGCUUAAAUUUUAGUGCUGUAGUGAGUUCCCUGGUGACCUAGUGGUUAGGAUUCUGGUCGUGAUUCUGGACUUUCACUACCGUGGCUUGGGAUCAGUCCCUGGUCAGAGAACUGAGAUCCCAUCACGCAAGCGUCACAGCACAACUGACAAAAACAAACAAAAAAAUGUGUGCUGUAGUUAUGUACUUCAAGUUCUUCAUUUUCUUUGUUUAUUUGCUACUCGGCAUGCGAGAUCUUGGGCUUCCCGGGUGGCACUAGUGGUAAAGAACCCGCCUGCCAGUGCAGGAGACAUAAGAGACACAGGUUCAAUCCCUGGGUCAGGAAGGUCCCUUGGAGGAGGGCAUGGCAACCCACUCCUAUAUUCCUCCCUGGAGAAUCCCAUGGACAGAGGAGCCUGGCAGGGUACAGUCCAUAGGGUCACAAAAAGCUGGACAUGACUGAAGUGACUUAGCACAAACAUACUCAUGUGAGGUCUUAGUUCCCUGACCAGGCAAUGAACCUACGCCCCUGCUCUGGAAGUAGAGUUUUAACCACUAGACCAUCAAGGAAGUCCCAAGUUCUUCAUUUUAAAACUUAGAAGAGAUUGACCUUGUAUCAGGAUUAAAUUAAUACGCUUUUUAUUUCAGCAUGGCCUUCAGUUAACUCUUCUUAUAGAGAACUUCUGUAGAAGCAAACGUAUUCUCUCCUGGGAGGAAAGCAAUCCCCUUUCAUGUUUUGUAGAGGAGAAAAUGAUGCAGCUAUAUACACAGUAUCCUCCUCUAGUGAUUUGAAACAAGUCAGAAGGAGAACCCAGGUACCUGCCCAUAGCUGUGCCUUUCUUAGGUAGAUUGCUGCUGCCUUCUGGCAGUAGGGCAGUGAGGCAAGUUAAUUAUUCAGUGUCAGAGGAGGUAAAUAAAUAAAUGAAUUACCUAAUUAAAUAAACCUUCGGGGUGCUAAAAGCUGGCAGUUUCCUCAACCACACACUUUUUUUUGAGAACUAGUCCUCUUGUAUGAAGGAACAGCCAACCCAGGCAUAUGGGCUCUUCCCUUUUACCUCUGAGAAAGUGGAUUUAUGACCGUCUGUGUACUCAUCUCUCUGUUUAUGUCUCUGACAUAGACCACUCUGCCAGUUGCCAGCACUCUUUCUACCUCCACUGAGAACAUGGAGAGAUUCUGCCACUACAGAAGGAGGAAAGAAAGUUAUAAUUCAAGAAGGACUUCCUGGGCUUCCCUGGUGGUCCAGUGGUUAAGAAGUUGCCUAGCAAUGCAGGGGACAAGGGCUCGAUCGCUGGUCCGGGAGGACCCCACACGACGCAACUACUAAAGCCCACCCGCCCUAGAGCCUGUGCUCCACAAUGAGAAGCCACAGCAACGAGAAGUUCACACACCACAGCUGGAGAGUAGCCCUCACUCGCCACAACUAGUGAAACCCACAUGGAGCAACAAAAACUCAGAGCAGGCAUAAAUAAACAGAUAUUAAAAAGUAAAAAAAAGAAAGGACUUCCUGCUGUCAAGGCAUGACAGACACCACCACAAAACAAGUGAGGGAGAAUCUUAGCUGAGAAAAGAUGUUUCUGUUAUAGAAAAUACCCCACCUCACCCCCUCCCCCAUCCCAAGCCUCGCUUGAGGGAGGCUCUACUCUCGGAAGGGCUUGGGCGGUCGGAGUCAGAAUCAGCAAGCUUUUGUUGAAUAGACAGAUACUGCAUACAAGGCAGCUCCAUGUACUUCUUUCUACUACACCCUUUUAAUAUUUGAACUUAAGAGAAACCCUCCAACUUUUUCCUAAGUGGAAUUUUAUUUUGAAAUGAGAUCCUGCAGCGUGAGGACCAACUACAGAAACACUUUAGUGUUAAGGGACCUCCACAGCCUGAAACAUUUUUCCUAACUUGGACCACUGUUCCAUGCGCAUCCAGAGGCUAUACUACAUCCUACAUUAACAGCUUGUUCUUAACCUCCCACUCCAAAGAUUUACUGAGAAUUUCUUUCUGAGCAGAGCUACUCUCGUAAAAGAAAUAGUAGAAGCAUGUUGUGUUAGGAUAAUUGCUAUAAUAGAAAGAUCCAAGUAAAGAACAUAGCUCACAUACAGUAGUUUAUUUCUUGCUUCUAGGGUUGUAUAACUUUUGAACUGUGGUGUUGGAGACAACUCUUGAGAGUCCCUUGGACUCCAAGGAGAUCAAAUCAGUCAAUCCUUAAGGAAAUCAGUCCUGAAUAUUCAUUGGAAGGUCUGAUGCUGAAGCUGAAACUCCAAUACUUUGGCCACCUGAUGCGAAGAACUGGCUCAUUGGAAAAGACCCUGAUGCUAGGAGAUAUUGAAGGCAGGAGAAGGAGACAACAGAGGAUGAGAUGGUUGGAUGGCAUCACCGACUUGAUGGACAUGACUUUGAGCAAGCUCUGGGAGUUGGUGAUGGACAGGGAAGCCUGGCAUGCUGCAGUCCAUGGGGUCUCGGUCAGACACGACUGAGCGACUGAACUGAGGGUUGCAGAGCAGCACUCCUCCAUGUAGCCAUUUAGGAACCCAGGUUAAUGAAAGCCUGCAAAAGGCAUGGAGGAAACAGGAGGUUUUUGUGAAUCUAGAAGUAGGGCUGUUGUCAUUUUUUGUGCUAAGUCAUGUCUGACUUGGUGACCCCAUGGACUGUAGCCCACCAGGCUCUUCUUGUCCACAGGAUUUCCGAGGCAAGAAUACUGGAGUGGGUUGCCAAAGAAAAUUUUCAUAUAUAGAGAGGACUGGGCCCCCAGGAUGAGGGUGAGCAUGUGGAGCGUAUCCAUCCUACUUUCAUCAGUCUGGAGACCGCUGACGGCCAUUGGCAUUAGUUACCAUCCAGAAGGAUUUGACUGCUAAGGCCUGAAGGAAAAAUGUUGUGUUUAUUGACUGUGUUCAUCUCUCACACUCAAACUUUUCUUUCCAUUCUCCCAACUAUGUCUUAAUUCAUCAUUUCCUUUUUUAAAAAAAAAAAAAUGCAUGUAUUUGGGGGCACUUGGUCUCAGCCACCGCUCACAGGAUCUCUGAUCUUUGUUGUAGCAAUUGGGAUCUUCAGCUGCAGCACGCUCAAUCUUUUAGUUGUGGCAUGCAAACUCUUAAUUGCGACAUGUGGAAUCUAGUUCUUGACCAGGAAUUGAACCCAGGCUCCCUGCAUUAAGAGCUUGGAGUCUUAACCACUGGACCACCAGAGAAGUCCCCAGUUCAUCAUUUCUUAAACUAUGUAAAUAGCCUCCUAACAGAGGCCCCUACCUCUGUCCUCUCGCACCCUCAACCCCAUCUAACAUGUGACUCACCGUGUUAUGCUUCAAUGGUUCCUCGUCACUCACAGGCUUGAGUCAACUUUCGUGAUAAAAAAACUGAAUUCACAUUCCAGUCCCUUCCUACCUCUUAGACCUCAUCUCCUGGCAUCGCACCCUGGGCAUUCUGUGUCCAGCUUUGUCUUCCCCGCAUACUCUAUGUACUGACAUGCCUCCUUGCCUGGGAUGUGCCAUCCUUCCUGGGCCCACUCCCACCUGUCCAUCAGUUUUCUCUUUAAUGUCACUCCAUUGGUGAAACCUUUCUUGAUUCUCCUCGGCUUGGUGAUGCACCCCUUCUUCAAGAGAAUCAUAAUUGAUUGGUAAAGAAUAGUUAUCUCUCUAAACAAUGUAUUUUUCUCCUUUAGACUCUAAGCUAAAUGAGGCCCUAGAACAUGUGUUUUCAUUGUGUAUCUCAAGUGCUUCAUAUGGUUUCUGAUGAAGAGCUGGUAUUCAGUGAAGAUUCGUCAAGUGAAUGAAUGAAUGGUUUUUAACCCUUGGAUCAUUUAAGGAUGAAGAUGCUCUUUCUUGUCUGUCACCCACCUAAGAAUAAAGGGUUUGGAACUUCCCUGAUGAUUCAGUGAGUAAGACUUCGUGCUCUCAAUGCAGGGGACUCUGGUUCAGUCCCUGGUCAGGGACAUCCCAUAUGCCACAGGUGAAAAUCACACAUGCCACAACAAAGACCUGGCACAGCCAAAAGAAGAAGAAGAAAAAAAAAAAGAAUAAAGGGUUUGAAGAAGACAGGACAGGAAGUUGACACAAAAGCAGAAGAAAUGAAAGUUGGAUCUCAGAAGACUGUUGAAUGAGAGGUCUCUGACAUGUCAGUGUGUAGGGUUGGAUGGGGCAUCUUAAUGCUGUGAGAGAGGAGACUGGUCGUCAGUACCCAAUCUUUCAUGGCUCCUUACUGACAGAGAGCCCUUAUAUUAUUCGAAGUGUCAAUGCUGCUGCUAAGUCACUUCAGUCAUGUCUGACUCUGUGUGACCCCAUAGACGUCAGCCCACCAGGCUCCCCCACCCCUGGGAUUCUCCAGGCAAGAACACUGGAGUGGGUUGCCAUUUCCUAGCUUAUUGGAGGGGGUUUCUUAGAACAACCUUUAAAGAUGGUUGACUUCACUGGGAGGUCUCCCCUUUGCCUCAGCCUCAUUGCUGCUGCUUAGAAUGGAUGUGGUAUCUGCAGCUGCAAAUCUUGUUACCAGGAAACAACCCUGAGGAUGGAAGCCAUGGGCUAAGGAGAGCGGAAUAGAGAUGUAGAAGGAGCCUGAGUCCCUAAUAGGAUGGAGUCACCCUACCAGGCCUGCUGUGCCUAUUUUGAACUUCCCCAUAAGAGAGAACUAAAGUUUCAAUUUGUUUAAAUCACUCUUACUCACAUUUCCUGUUUUAUGUGAAAGUGAAGUGAAAGUGUUACUCGCUCAGUUGUGUCUGACUCUUUGUGACCCUAUGGAUUGUAGCCUGCCAGGCUCCUCUGUCCACAGAUUUUCCAGGCAAGAAUACUGGAGUGGGUUGCCAUUCCCUUCUCCAGGGGAUCUUCCCCACCCAGGGAUCAAACCUGAGUCUCCUGCAUUGCAGGCAGAUUCUUUAACAUCUGAGCCACCAGGGAAGCCCAAACUAAUCCCAGCUGAUACAGAGGAGAUAUUUACAGAGUCCUCAUACAUCAGAUGGAGAAGGCAAUGGCAACCCACUCCAGUACUCUUGCCUGGAAAAUCCCAUGGAUGGAGGAGCCUGGUGGGCUGCAGUCCAUGGGGUCGCGACUGAGCGACUUUGGUUUCACUUUUCACUUUCACACAUUGGAGAAGGAAAAGGCAACCCACUCCAGUGUUCUUGCCUGGAGAAUCCCAGGGAUGGUGGAGCCUGGUGGGCUGCCGUCUACGGGGUUGCACAGAGUCGGACACGACUGAAGUGACGCAGCAGCAGCAGCAGCAUACAUCAGAUAUUUCAUGCAUGUUACCUCUUCAUAGCUUCAUGAUAGUGCUAUAAAGGUUGGUCAGCCUGCUCCUUGUCUAGCUGUAUGUUAUUGGGAAAGUUACUUCACCUCUCUGCGCCUCUGUUUCCUCAUCUGUAAGAUGAAGACAACACAAUAAUAGCACCUCCUCAUAGAGUUAUGAAGAUCGGACAGUUCCUGUAUGUAAAACGCUUAGAAUUGUGCUUGGCGUGUAGUCAGUGCCUACUCUUGCAUGCAUGCUCAAUCACAUCCGACUCUGUGACCCUAUGGACUGUAGCCCACCAGGCUUCUCUGUCCAUGGGAUUUUCCAGGUAAGAAUACUGAAUUGGGUUGCCAUUUCCUUCUCCAGGGGAACUUCCUGACCCAGGGAUAAAACCUGCGUCUCCUGUGUUGGCAGGCGUCUUUAUCACUGAGCCACCAGGGAAGGUGGUGCCUACUCUUAGCAAUUGCCAUAUUAGCAAUAACAUAAUCACAUUCAGAUGCCUGACUAUAGCUCAGAAAACUUCAGUAACUUGUCUAAGGUGACACAGUAAGUGGUAGAGCCAAGUUGCAAACACAGGCCUACAUGAAUCUUAAAACUAUGCAUUUCUCCAUGCACUUUGGAAGGACCCAAUGUGGGUAGGCUGCAGGGUGGAGGGCAGGAGAUGGUCAUGAUCAUGGCAUCCAGUCCCAUCACUUCUGGCAAAUAGAUGGGGAAAAGUGGAAGCAGUGACAGAGUUUAUUUUCUUGGGCUCCAAAAUCACUGCAAACAGUGACUGCAACCAUGAAAUUAAAAGAUGCUUGCUCCUUGGAACGAAAACUAUGACAAACAUAGACAGUGUAUUAAAAAGCAAAGAUAUCAUUUUGCCGACAAAAGUCCAUAUAGUCAUGGCUUUUCCAGUAGUCAUGUAUGGCUGUAAAAGUUGGACUAUAAAGAAAGGCUGAGCACUGAACUGAUGACUUCGAAUUGUGGUGCUGGAGAAGACUCUUGAGAAUCCCUUGGAUAGCAAGGAGAUCAAACCAGUCAAUCCUAAAGGAAAUCAACCCUGAAUAUUCACUGGAAGGACUAUGCUGAAGCUGAAGCUCCAAUACUUUGGCCACAUGAUGCAAAGAGCCCACUCAUUGGAAAAGACUCUGAUGCUGGGAAAGAUUGAAGGCAAAAGGAGAAGAGGGCAGCAAAAGAUGAGAUGGUUAGUACCACCACCUCAAUGGACAUGAAUCUGAGCAAACUCCAGGAGAUAGUGAAGGACAGGGAAGCUUGUGUACUGUAGUUGCAGAAUCAAGACACAAUUUAGCAACUGAACAAUAAUACCACCUGGGCUUCCUAGGUGGUGCUAGUGGUAAAGAAUCCUCUUGCAAUGCAGUUGGCCAGGUUGGAUCCCUAGGUCAGGAAGAUCCCCUGGAGGAAGAAAUUCAACCCACUCCAGUAUUCUUGCCUGAAAAAUUCCAGAAACAGUGGAGCCUGGCGGGCUACAGUCCAGGUGGCCACGAGGAACACACACGCAUAAUACCACCUACUUUAUGAGAUCAUCGUGAAGAUUAAAUGAGGGCACAGCUCAGCCUUCUUGCACCUGGAAGCACGUAAGCACUACCGUUGGGGGCCACUGAAAACAGUGAAAUCACCCGCAAAAACAAACCUGAAAAACAGCACUAAGUAGACCGUGAAUGGGACACUUGGCAGGAUGAGAGCUGAAACAAGAGGCGGAGUGUUGCUGCUGGGCCUCAGCUGGGAACGUAACUGUCCCAUGACUCAGAUUGGUUGUUGCUCUGGAUUUGUCUGGGAUUGACCAUGAAAACCUUAUGAGUACUGAUUGGGGAAUUACAGAUAAAUUUUAGUAAGUAGGCAAAUUGACAAAUACAGAACUUGCAAAUCAUGAGGAUGAACCAAAUGUAGAGAGAGGACCAGUUUCUCAACUGUGUGACUUGUCCAGUCACAGAUUGCAUUCAGAAGGGCCUUGAGCUUGGUUUAAUGCUCUGCUGUUGUUACUGUCCUGAAAUUCCUAACUUAAAAAAAAAAUUAUAGUUGAUUUAUAAUAUUGUGUUAGUUUCAAAUGUACAGCAAACUGAUUGGGUUAUAUAUAUACUAUACAUAAUUUUAUAUAAAAUAAAAUUAAUAAAAUGUUUAUUUUAUAUAAAAAUACAGAUUAUUUUCCAUUAUAGGUUAUUAUUAGAUAUAAAAUAUAGUUCCCUGUGCUAUACAGUAAACCCUUGUUGCUUGUUUUUAUCUAUUUUAUAUAUAGUAAUGUGUAUCUGUUAAUCCCAUACUCCUAAUUUAUCCCUUCCCCCCACCUUGAAAUUCUUAACUUUUAAACAAGAGGCCUCAUGUCAUUUUCACUUUGCUGGUCUUGUAGCUGGUCUUGUCGCUGGUCGUGUCUUUAUGUUUGUGUAUGCAUAUUUAAUUGCAUAAAUGAGAUCAUAUUAUAAAUACCCUUCCUUUUUUCCUUCUUAUAGUUUCCUUUUUUAAAAAUUCAAUCUUUGGUGGUAUUUUUAUAUAGACAUAUAUAAAUCUACUUUCAUCCUUUUAACGUCUGUGGUAUAGAUGUAUCAUGAUUUAUUUUUCAAGUCUCCAAUUACUCUGGACAAUACUUUGUUUAUGAAUUUUUACUUUUAGGAAUUAUGCCAAAAGAACUACCCUUGUUACACACACACACACACGCUUUGGCAUAUCAUCCAAUUAUAUUCAUACACUACACUAGCAGUAGAAUUGCUGCUACAUUGAAGUAUAUUUGUAUUUCAAAUAAUGAUCAUUAUUGCCUUGUUGCUCUCUAAAAAGUUUGUACCAGUUCUCACUCAUACCAAGAAAAUUUGAGAAUUUAUGUUCUUAAAUAUAGCUUGCCAACUUCACAAAUUUCCAAACUUAAAAAAAGUUGUCAAUCUGGGCUUUCCUGGUGGCUCAGUGGUAAAGAAUGGAAGAUCCCCUGGAGAAGGAAAUGGCAACCCACUCCAGUAUUCUUGCCUGGGAAAUCCCAUGGACAGAGAAGCCUGUUGGGUUACAGUCCAUGGAGUCGCAAAAGAGUUGGAUACAACUUAUUGACCAAACAACAACAAUAUCAUUCUAAAAAAAAAAUAGUGGAAAAAAUAUUUGCCAAUCUGAUCAGCUGAAGAGGUAUUUUGAGCUUCCCUGGUGGCUCAGUGGUAAAGAAUCUGCCUGCAAUGCAGGAGACCUGGGUUCAAUCCCUGGGUUGAGAAGAUCUCCUGGAGAAGGAAAUGGCAACCCACUCCAGUAUUCUUGCCUGGAGAAUUCCAUGAACAGAGGAGCCUGGCUGGCUACAGUCCGUGGGGUUGCAAAGAGACAUGACCAAGCAGCUAACAUACUAAAGAGGUGUUUUGUAGUUAUUUUAAUUUGCAUGUAUUUAAUCAUGUGUGAAGCUGAACAUUUUUUCUCAUGUUUAUUUAUUAACCAUUUUUUCUCUGUUUUUGCAUCUCCUGUUGCUACCCUUUGUUCAUUUUCCUAUUCGGUUGUCUUUGUACUUUAUAUAAAUUAAAGAAAUUAACCCUUUGCUUGUUAUAUGAAUUAUAAAUAAUCCUGACUUAUGAGUCUUUUGCUUUUAUUUGCAGCAUUGUUUUUUCCAAAACAGAAAUGAAGAUUUUUGUGUUAUACACUGAAACUUCUAGAUGAGAGAUAUUUUAAAUUUCAAACAGCGAAUUCCGUGGUGGUCCACUGAUUAGGACUCUGUGCUUUCACUGCUGGGGUCUGGAGGGAGCUAAGAUCCUGCAAGCUGAGUGGUGUAACCAAAAACAAACCUUUCUUAAUCAAUAUUACUUGAUGAUAGCUCAGAUGUAAAGGGCCUGGGAGAGGAAGACAUCAAAGACAACAGCAGUGUUCCUAGGUUUGGGGAAUAAUAAUAGUGUCUUUACCAGGUUUCUCCGACAAGGAUUCUCUCAGUGAUAGGUCCUUCACCAUGAGCUUAGGGAGCUGAACUUUCAAAAUCAAGAGUUCAUUAGAGUUUACUGCUUUUAUUUUUUAAUAAAUGAUUUAGGAUUAAUUUUAGAUUUACAGAAAAGUUGCAAAGAUAGUAAGAGAUGGUUCUCAGAUACCUUAUGCCCAAUUUUUCCUAUUAUUAACGUAUUACAUUAACAUGGCGUAUUUAUAGCAAUUAAUGAGCCAAUAUUGACAUAUUGCUAUUGACAAAGUCCGUACUCUCUUCAGAUUUCCUUGGUUUUUAGUUUCAUAUCUUUUUUCUAUUCCAGGAUAAUGUCUUUUUUAGCUUCUUAUUGGCUGUGACAAUUGAGUUUCCUGAUUUUUGUCACUGUCAUUCCACAUCAAUUCACUAAUGGGAGCAAAAUCCUAUCUGAGCUAGCCGUCCCAGGUUAGAGGAUCAGCAGAUAACCGACUCUAGAUUCCUAUCUUGCCUCUCUUCCUGCUUUAAAUCCCCCUUUUCUGAGGCUGUGAGCCACCCUCCACUUCCUCUCCAUUCACUCCCGUACCCUGCACAUUCCUUCUUUGUCCUCUGACUUCAACCUAGUAUUGGUUGUCUUCAUUUGAAAUCAAAGACUGUUUUCUAGAUUCCUUUGCUAAGAUUAGGAUUAACCCCCACAUCUUCCCAUGAAUUUGCUUUAUUUAUUUAUAUAAUGGUUUGUUUAUCCCCUGAAUCAGGGUAGCUGGCUAGUUUUCUUAGCAGCUAGUCUCUAGUACAGUUCUAAGCCUGGAGUUGCUCCUGAUACUGGAGAGAAGGAGGACUAUAAUUAGCAGAGGCAGGGAAGUUGGGAAGGAGAACUGUUUACUAAGGAAUUUAGUGCACCUGGUUUGUAUGUGUCCUAAGCAAAGGUGAGAUGCACAAGUGCAGAAAUCCUGGAGCAAGUUAGAAGUACAGAUUUCGUACGCUGAUGAGAGGUCAGUGUUUAAAACAGAGCUUGGAGAGAUGUCUACUUUUGGAGGUGUCAGUAGGAAGCAUGAGAGUGAGAGAGAAGAGUAGGGGGAGAGGAAAAAACCUUGUCCACAGUCAGGGGACGGGGAAGACACUCCCACGUAGGAGGCAGGGGAGGAGCUGGAGUAGUAGAUCAUGGACAGAGCAUUGGUGUAGGAACCCAAGGAGAAAGGAAUAUGGAACACCAGGAAGCCAUUCAGUGUAGGGAGGACUAAGAAAAGCCUUCAGUUUCUGAACUCACCUGCAGAGGAGGGACGAGAGGACUUGGAACCCUCGCAUAAAAUAAAGUGCUUGACUCAGACAUAGUAAACAGAAAGGAAAGAAAUAAGACAGCUUCAAUCUUCAAAAGAAUGGGGCUAAAUUCCUCCUAUACAUCUUCAGGUCAUAAGGAAGGUAUCACAGGGAAGAAUUAUUGAAGAUGAUAGAGAAGAAAGGGAGGCUAGUGGAAAUAAGAUUCUAGCUUUUAGUUGUCCUACUUCACUUAGGAUGUCAACUCAUGAAGGCAGGGGUUUCUGUCUGUUUUGACUUCUUUAAUAUUCCAGGAGCCUAAAACAGUGUCUGGUACCUGGUGGGUUUUCAAUAAAUAUUGCUGAAUGGUGGAAAGGAACAGAAAUUAUUAAGUCUAGACACUAAGAGGAGAGGCUGGUUUUAGAAUGAACGAUAAAUAAAUAUAUCUUCGUCUAAGACCAUGAGGAAAACUGAGGAGCCAGAGGGGAAGAAGGAACUUAUACCCGAGGCCCUAAACUGAAUAAUAAGGUACCUGAUGAUGAUGGACUGCAGGAAAGCAGAUCUGGCAGGGAACUGAGGGCAACAAUCCCUUUCUGCUCCCAUGCAGGGAAGCCAAGAACUGGCUUGGGACACCAGCUGGGCACUCUUCCCAGCCCUUGCAUUCCAGCCGAAUACCCUACACAAUGAAGAAAGGGGACUGACAGUGCAGUGACAUGAUUUAGGUUAAUGAACUACUGAUCGUCUGCCAAGUGGGUGGGAAGUUGUUUUUGUCUGCUUGCUUCUAUGGAAAAAAAUUGUUAUGAAUGAUUCAUCUUGUCUCAUUACUCAAGAGCACAAAUUGAUAACAAGAGUUUAAAACCUAGGGAGAACAUAGCUACCUCCACCCUAUCCCACAGCCCAGUUUUUGGUGGAUGGGUACGUUCACCCUCUCACUUUCUUGAUUAUGAGGGUUUCACAGACGUGUGUGUGUGUAUGUAUAUAUACAUGUAUAUGUAUAUAUAUAGUCAAAUUGUAUAUUUAUAUGUGUGCAGUUCACUGUGUGUCAAUUAUACCUCAAUCAAGCUGUUUAGAAAAAGGAAAACAGAAUCUUACAUGUAAAAUUAUUUCAAUCACAGAGUUUGGAUUAUAUAUAAUAUAUAUACACACAUAUAUACACAGGGCUUCCCUGGUGGCUCAGAUGGUAAAGAAUCUGCCUGCAGUGUAGGAGACCCAGGUUUGAUCCCUGGGUCAGGAAGAUCCCCUGGAGAAGAGAAUGGCAACCCACUCCCGUAUUCUUGCCUGGAGAAUCCCACGGACCAAGGAGCCUGGCAGGCUACAAUUCAUAGAGUCGCAAAGAGUCAGACACGACUGAGCAACUAACACACACACACACACACACACACACAUAUAUACAUACAUAUAUAUAUAUUUACUUGCAUAUAUAAAUUCAUCUAAUUUAUCUUUACAAUCCAAGAGAAAGUCAUUUUGAAAUAAAUUAUUUGAGGGGAAAAUAAAGGUCAAUCUAGGGAGACAAGAUACAAAGAGAACCACUAAGAUUUCCAGCCACAUCCCGGGAUAAACUAAGGAAUUCCUUCUCUCAGGGGGAAAACUGAAGAGGAGAAAGAAAGUUUUUGGUUAGCUGGUGGUGAGAGUGUUGUGUUCUUUUUGUAAACUUUUUGUAAUUCUUCUUGAGGUCAUGCUGUCCUUGUAAUCUUCAACCUAUAGAAGACCCUCUCUUCCACAGCAUGGAGAGAAAGAUGGCUUUUUCCUAGGAAGGCCUGUUGCUCUGCCAUUCUGCUGCUGCCAAGGGUCACAUUUCUUCAUCCUCCUGAUACACUACAGAACUCGAGAGACACCGGUACAACUCACCACAUAGAUGGAUCUGGGGCCUGAGCGGUGAACCAAAUCCUGGCUGAGGCCGGUUUACUUUAAACUUUUCUGAAGAGGUUUUGUAAAUCAUUUCCAAAGGAAUUAAAUUUAAUCGAGUAAGGACUGAAAUUACUCCCACUGUGGUCUCUGCCAUCACCUGGCAGUCUUAGGGGUUUUAUGCCAGACAAUAUGCAUGAAACAGUGCUGGGUGCUGUUCUUAACCCUAAAGAGGCAGGGUUGGUUCUUGAUCUCAACUUGAAAUUCAGAAAGCCUAAAGAAUAAAAAUCCCUGGGGUGGGGAUAACAAAUCAAUAUUUACUUUGUGAGUUGGAACUGGUCUGCUUAAUAAAGCUCGUUCAUAAGUGAGAAGGGUAAAUAUCAACUCACUUCUUGAACUAACAGGCCCCCCAAUUCACCAAAAAUCUCCAAAGGACUAAAGGGAUAACAGCCAAGUGUGCUAGUAAUUGCUUUCUAGUCCUUCAGGCUGUGCCUCCAAAGCCAGUUCCUGCUUUUGGUCAGAUCACUCCCCAAACUUGUCAGCAUCAUGAUGCCCUUUAAAAAUUGUCUUCAUAGCACUUAACAGUGUUUCAUCAAUUAAUUUAUCUGUUUAUUUUCUGUCUCUUCUACACUGGAAGAGAAUCUCCAUGGAAGCAGGGAUCUUACCUCCUGUUUUCGACACUGUAUUGCUACAAUAAUGUAGUAUAAUGGCUUCCCCAAAAUGGGCUUCCCUUGUGGCUCAGUGGUAAAAAACCUGCCUGCCAACGCAGGAGAUGCAGGUUUGAUCCCUGGUUGGGAAUGUUAGGUUGUUAGAAUAGGAAAAAGGAGUCCAAAAUGGGGGUGGCUAAAAGACAAAAAGAGGAAAAAGUCCUUGAAAAGGGAGCAAAGGAAAAAUUUAUGGACCCAGAAUGGGAAUCUCAGGUGAAAUAAACACUCCCCCUUCCUGAUCAUUGAUAGGUGUUAUGCUAGUCUUAAUUUGCAAAGGGCAGGCUCAGGGGGAGGAGACAAAAGGUAUAAAACGAGGGAGCCAAGACAGGCUGGAGCCUUUCCUUCCAGGGUUGGCCUGCCCUCAUGCCUCCGGGGUGUAUUAUCCUUUGUUUACCAAAUAAAACUCUGAGCUGUAACCCUGGUCCUUCGUUUCAAAUCUUUGUUGUGGCAAGACUGAACAGAGGAAAUUAUGCAGUCUCCCUACAGGAAGAUCCCCUAGAAAAGGAAAUGGCAACCCACUCCAGUAUUCUUGCCUGGAAAAUCCCAUGGACAGAGGAACCUGGUGGGCUACAGUCCAUGGGGUCGAAAAGAGUCAACCAUGACUGAGUGCGACACGCACACACACACACACACACACACACACACACACACACACGAAAGUCCCAGGGGGAGUGGUGGGCAGGGUUCUUUCCUUGCCUGUCUUGUUCAAUACUGUAUAUCUGCAGUCCAAGGGUCACAAAAGAGUUUGAUGCAAACUUAGUGACUAAACAACAAACAAAAGAUGGCCACGUCCUAAUUCUAGGAACUCCUGAGUAUGCUACCUCAUGUCAUUAAAGGGACUUUGCAGAUUUAAGGAUGGAGAUAUAAAAGUAGGGAGAAUAUCCUGCAUUUUCCAAGUGGGCCCAAUGUAAUCACGAGGGUCUUUAUAAGAGGGAAAGAGGAUCAGUGUCAGAGGACAUAUGGCAACAGAAGUAGCUGUCAGAAAGUGGGAGAGGGACUUGCAGGUCCUGUGCUGCUGGCUUUGAAGAUGGAGGAAGGGGCCACGAGCUAAAGAAUGUAGACAGCUCCUAGAUGCUGGAAAAGACAGGGAAAUAGAUUCCCUACUAGCCUUUAGAAGGAAUACAGCCCUGUGACAACAUGAUUUUAGGAUUUCUAAUCUCUAGAACUGUAAGAUGAUAAAUUUGUAUUGUUUUAAGCUGUUAAAUCAGAGAAGACAAUGGCAACCCACUCCAGUACUCUUGCCUGGAAAAUCCCAUGGACGGAGGAGCCUGGUGGGCUGCAGUCCAUGGGGUCACUAAGAGUUGGGCUCGACUGAGCGACUUCACUUUCACUUCUCACUUUCCAGCAUUGGAGAAGGAAAUGGCAACCCACUCCAGUGUUCUUGCCUGGAUAAUCUUAGGGACAGAGGAGCCUGGUGGGCUGCCAUCUAUGGGGUCACACAGAGUCGGACACGACUGAAGCGACUUAGCAGCAGCAGCAAGCUGUUAAAUUUGUGCUAAUCUGUUACAGCACCCAUGGAAAACUAACACAAAUGAUACCUGAUGCAUAACAGACUUUUAAUAAACAUUUAUCGGUUGACCAACUUCCUUAUAUAUGAGGCCCCAGCGAGCAAUAGAAACAACACUUUGCAAACUUCAUGGUGGUGUAUAAUAGCCAAGUGUGUUCAUAAUCCUAAAUUCAUUUUAUUUUCACAAUUAUUAUUCUUAUAUUACAAACAGGGAAAUUAAAACUCAGUUGUCCAAGUUCCCAUAGGUUUUAAGAGGCAGAAAGUAUAUUCAGAACCAAUAUUCUUCUUUUUUUUUUUUCAAUAUUCUUCUUAUUUUCUCCUUAUUUUUGUCUGAUCUAUAAACAAUAUUAACAAUAAAGGACAGGUUUUAAAAAAUUCAUUUGCAAUCCU
Long non-coding RNA from Bos taurus (domestic cattle), 15592 nucleotides. Lineage: Eukaryota; Metazoa; Chordata; Mammalia; Artiodactyla; Bovidae. The record is from Ensembl.